Molecule: ribosomal RNA, 564 nt
Filed under: Triticum aestivum (bread wheat)
Lineage: Eukaryota; Viridiplantae; Streptophyta; Magnoliopsida; Poales; Poaceae
Description: partial small subunit ribosomal RNA
Source: RNAcentral
AUGGCGCCGAGGCUGGAGCGCGGCGGCAGCGGCUUCCAUCUCCCGAACUCCAGGCAGGAGGACUCCCUCUUCCUCCGCGCCCUCAUCUCCGUUGUAAACGGAGACGCCGUCGUCCCCACGCUGCACCUCGAGCCGUCGUCGCCGCACUUUGCCGCUGCAGUUCCUGCGUGCGCCAGCUGCGGCGUGGACGGGUGCAUCGGCUACAUGUUCGCUGCUGCGGCGGCGCCGGCCGGCUCGAGCAGCGAGGGCGAAGGAUGCUCCGCCGCGAGCUUUGUGAAGGGCGGCGGCGUGGGGAAGAUCACGCGGAGGAGGAGCCGGAGCAAGUUCAGGGGCGUGAGGCAGCGGUCGUGGGGGAAGUGGGCCGCGGAGAUCCGCGACCCGCACCGCGCCGUGCGCAAGUGGCUCGGCACCUUCGACACCGCCGUGGAUGCCGCCCGCGCAUACGAUCUCGCGGCGCUCGAGUUCCGUGGCCACGGCGCCAGACUCAACUUCCCGGCCGCGGCCGCGUCGUCGUCGUCGUCGGCUUCUGUUUCUGAUUCGUCUUGGGCGGCUGCGCAGUCGUAG